UACCAGCACCCCGAGUAGUCGGGACGAUUAUUGGGCCUAAAGCAUCCGUAGCUUGUCCUGCAAGUCCUCCGUUAAAUCCACCUGCUCAACAGAUGGGCUGCGGAGGAUACUACAGGGCUAGGAGGCGGGAGAGGCAAGCGGUACUCAGUGGGUAGGGGUAAAAUCCUCUGAUCCAUUGAAGACCACCAGUGGCGAAGGCGGCUUGCCAGAACGCGCUCGACGGUGAGGGAUGAAAGCUGGGGGAGCAAACCGG
RNAcentral lists this ribosomal RNA (253 nucleotides) under uncultured bacterium. Its description in RNAcentral is "partial 16S ribosomal RNA". It matches the Rfam family "Archaeal small subunit ribosomal RNA", at positions 474 to 727 of the family's 1478-position model. The record is from RNAcentral.